GACGAACGCUGGCGGCGUGCCUAAUACAUGCAAGUUGAGCGCUGAAGGUUGGUACUUGUACCAACUGGAUGAGCAGCGAACGGGUGAGUAACGCGUGGGGAAUCUGCCUUUGAGCGGGGGACAACAUCUGGAAACGAAUGCUAAUACCGCAUAAAAACUUUAAACACAAGUUUUAAGAUUGAAAGAUGCAAUUGCAUCACUCAAAGAUGAUCCCGCGUUGUAUUAGCUAGUUGGUGAGGUAAAGGCUCACCAAGGCGAUGAUACAUAGCCGACCUGAGAGGGUGAUCGGCCCAAUUGGGACUGAGACCAGGCCCAAACUCCUUCGGGAGGCAGCAGUAGGGGAUCUUCGGCAAUGGACGAAAGUCUGACCGAGCAACGCCGCGUGGGUGGAGAAGGUUUUCGGAUCGUAAAACUCUGUUGGUAGGGAAGAACGUUGGUGAGAGUGGAAAGCUCAUCAAGUGACGGUAACUACCCAGAAAGGGACGGCUAACUACGUG
This 497-nucleotide ribosomal RNA is filed under the name uncultured bacterium. Its description in RNAcentral is "partial 16S ribosomal RNA". It matches the Rfam family "Bacterial small subunit ribosomal RNA", at positions 28 to 507 of the family's 1533-position model. The record is from RNAcentral.